Molecule: ribosomal RNA, 460 nt
Filed under: uncultured bacterium
Lineage: Bacteria
Description: partial 16S ribosomal RNA
Rfam family: Bacterial small subunit ribosomal RNA
Source: RNAcentral
CCUACGGGAGGCAGCAGUGAGGAAUAUUGGUCAAUGGGCGGAAGCCUGAACCAGCCAAGUAGCGUGCAGGAUGACGGCCCUACGGGUUGUAAACUGCUUUUAUACGGGAAUAACGCGCCUUACGUGUAGGGCUUUGCAUGUACCGUAUGAAUAAGGACCGGCUAAUUCCGUGCCAGCAGCCGCGGUAAUACGGAAGGUCCGGGCGUUAUCCGGAUUUAUUGGGUUUACAGGGAGCGUAGGCCGCAUGUCAAGCGUGCUGUGAAAUGUCCGGGCUCAACCCGGGCCUUGCAGCGCGAACGGGCGUGCUUGAGUCCGCGUCACGCAGGCGGACUUCGUCGUGUAGCGGUGAAAUGCUUAGCUCUGACGAAGACCCCCGAUUGCGAAGGCAGCUUGCUGCAGCGGAACUGCCGCUGAUGCUCGACAGCGCGGGUAUCGAACAGGAUUCGCUACCCGGGUAGUC